GCAGAAAGAAACUCAUAUGCCUGGUACCUACAUAGUAAAUAGCAGCUUGCAGGUGUUUCCAAGAUGGCCGUCAAGAGAACAGAAUUGCCUUUGACUUGGGCCUUUGGUUUUACACAAAUACUUGAAAAUCAACGGCAUCAGCUACUUAAUUGUCAUUUUGGGAUUAUUAUAUUGGCUCAUUAAGGACAUACAUUAUGAACAUAUGCCACAUUCAACUGCUCCAGACAUGUAGACGCAUCCGCCAUCUUGGAAUGAUCAUAGUUAUACAUGGAGCAAUGAUGCAGAUUUCCACCCCCACCUUUUCAGCCACUGGCCAGUGGAUGACAGAAAUAACAAAUGGACCUUCUCAGUCUAUGUAGGAGCUUUUCCCUCGGAGGGAACGGAGAGAUAACAGCUUUUUCGAUGGGAAGUGCUAUGGCCUGCUACAAACACCCCUCAGGAAAUGGGGAAAUCUACUGCAUCUGUUUAAAAAGUGCAUCGACUUCACACAAGCCCCCGAAUAGAGGAUAAAUU
Sinocyclocheilus rhinocerous is the source of this 513-nucleotide long non-coding RNA. RefSeq lists it as uncharacterized. The record is from RefSeq and is a predicted model, not a curated record. The transcript has 3 exons. NCBI's taxonomy places the organism in Eukaryota, Metazoa, Chordata, Actinopteri, Cypriniformes, Cyprinidae.